GCAGUGAGCCGAGAUCACGCCACUGCACCCCAGCCUGGUGAUGGAACGAGACUCUGUCUAAAAAAAAAAAAAAAAAGAUAGGACAUGUUAAUGUAAAAGCUGUCAGAACACUCAAGACACACAAUAAAAGAUAGUCCUAUCCAGGAUAAGAUAAGCAGGCAAUCUUUUGCCCACAUCCUAUUAUGCUGUUCUUAUUAUAUUUGCCAGUGGCCCAAGAAAUCUUACAGGUGGACCAUAGGGCACAUGUCCAAGGACCAGUGUGGGGGAGUUAAUGCUACAGCUCUGGACCAGGAAUCUGAAAAGAAUAUUUUCUUCUCCAACUCAUCACUGGCACAAAUCAGCAACCCUGUACAAAGCUCUUUCUCAACCUCCAAUUUGAGAACUAUACUUCCUAACUAUUCAAAAUGCUCUCACAUCAGUCAGGAUAUUUUUUCCCCUAACAUAUCCCUGGGAAGGGAUGAAGUCAACCAUUACCAAACAUUUAUGAAUACAGAAACAGAAAGAGAUCCUGUGUCCCUCUAGAGGCACUGGACUGCAAUCAUCUGGCAACACUACCAUUUUUGGACUCUCUGGAAAUGGCAGAGAUUUUCUGAAGGAAGGACCCUAAAGGCAGCUGUCCUUUAUUGAGCAUCUGUGAUGUCCCUAGCGCUGCUUGUCUCAUUCAAGCCUCAGCACUACCAAAUGAAGAAGAUGUUAUGUGUGCUUUCAUAGGUCACUACAAUCCAGUGCCAACACAGCAUUGGGUGGAUCCCAUGAGAUUUCAAAUUCCACAAAGAAAAAAUCUACUUGGUCCUCAACAUUACUUCCAAGAUUGCUGGAGUUCACUGUACCAAUAAAAACUCAUGGACAAGAAAACAGAAACUAGAAGUGAAGGACUUCAAUAUCCAAGAAGAUGGUGUAGCCUCAAGAUAGAAAAAGCCCACACUUCUGAAACAUCAUUUGAAAGGCUGCUGAAGACCUACAUCACAUGGUGAUAUGAAAUAAAAAUAAACUUCUAUUAAGUUAAGCCUAUGAGCUUUCAGGCUUUAUCUACAGAGAUCUCAGCUCUCUCUGCUUUAAGAACUGCAAUGGCUACAAGGCAAAUUAAUACCUUAUUAGUCCUGUAUUGUUUGUUGCUUUUGAAUCACCAAAGUGAUUUUAACGUGUGAUUGCUUGCCAAAUUUUCUAAACAGACAGUAGGAUGAAUUGGUUGCUGGAGGCUCCAACUGCCCCUAACCAUCUGAGCGAUGCACCCAUUAUGCACUAAUCCUAAACAACUAAUGAAUUUCCCCAGGAGCAUUUGAUGUCCUCUCAUAUAGGUAUGACUGAGUAUAAGAUUUAACUUACUGUGAUAGUUUUCACAUGACAGUGUUAUUAAAUCAUGAAGUGCAAUGGUACUUAAAUUUUUCUGCGUCACAGAUCUCUGUAAAAAUCAAACAGGAGGAGUGGAUUCUUUCUGGAAAUGGACACAAAAGCACAUGCAAGCAAAAUGGUGUGCACCAUGUCAGCUGGUUCACAGAGCCUGGAUCAGCACCCCAGAAGUUUACCUUUGAGCCAGACUUUGGGCUGAUAACCACUUAUUGAGAGGAAAGAGCACUGUACUAGAAGCCAAAAGUCAGGAGCCUGCAGUCCCAGCCUGAGACUUUGGGUAUGCUGCUUCCCCUCUCUGAUCAGCAGAAUCAGGAGCUUUAUGAAUUGGUUUCUAAUGCUCUUCCAGCUCUGAAAUUAUCCAGAUUUUUAAUAAACAGCUGACACUGAAAUGAGGACCUCUAGCUGGUAUUUCUAGUCCCACCUAUUCUCACUUUUAAAAACAACAGAAAAAAAUAAGGGAAGAAAAUUGGUGGCAUCACAAAAUUUAACAUCUCACUGUGACAUCAAACCCCACAUUAUAUAUUUUCCUGUAAUUUCAUGACAAGGUUGGCUUUAGCUAGUGCAAAAUUGCUAGCUCCUUCAGCUGAUCAACAUAAAAGUACAUGAAGAGCCUAGAAUUUUGAGCAUGAAAUCUCAAGUGGUUCAUCAGAAUGAUACUUCUUGGCGUUAAUGAGAGUCUAGAGUCAGUGGGUUAAUCUGGAUGGACACUAGCUUCCAAGAUGAACCUGUCAGAAUAAUGUUCACACACCACAUACUUUCUUCAACAGACCAAAUAAUAAUAACAACAAGUAAAAACUUAACUUUCAUUCCAAAGGUAAUUAUUACAUUUAUCUGGCCUUUUCCCAUUAUUGUUCUGUAAAUCUAUUACUGUAUAACAAACCACCCCAAACUUAAUGGCAUCAGACCACCACCAUUGUAUUAUGUUCAUGAAUUCUAGGUCAGUUUCUUGCACAAGAGCAAGAAAACUACAUGGCCUUUUAUUACCUAACCUUGAAAGUCCUAUAGCACCACUUCUGUCAUGCUCUUUUGAAGCAGUCACAAGCCUGCUUCCUAAAGGAAGGAGUGCCAAAGAAUUUGAAGCCAUGUUUUAAAAUUGCCACUAUUAUGGACCAACACCAAUUGGAGGAAUCAAUAGGAAAGGAACACUAAAAUCUCAAACAUCAACUCAUGUCAGUCUUAAAACAUGGGAGGUUCAGAUAUUCAAAUAAUAAUUUGAUACAGGGGAUACAAGAAAUACAGCAGUGAACCAAACAGACCAAUAUCCCAGCCUUCAUAGUUGUUUGUUUUUUUUUAAAUUCCAGAUUCCAGUGGAGGAAAAGGCACGAUAAUUUUAAAAGGAGACUAAACCACAUCGUUAUAAAUGUUAUAAAGGAAAAUAAAUCAGAGAAGUAGAAUGGGAAAUACUAGGGAGGCAUGGAUCAAUUACAACUUCCAAUAGGAUAGUCAGAGAAAGCUUCAUGAAAAGGUGACGCUUAAGCAAAGAUCUAAAGCAGGGGUGUCCAAUCUUUUGGCUUUCCUAAGCCACACUGAAAGAAGAAGAAUUGUCUUGGGCCACACAUAAAAUACACUAACACUAAUGAAAGUUGAUGAGCUAAAAAAAAAAAAAAAGUCACAAAAAAACUCAUAAUGUUUUAAGAAAAUUUAUGAAUUUGUGUUGGGCUGCAUUCAAAGCCGUCGUGGUGGCAUGCAGCCCAUAGACCACUGACUGGACAAGCUUCAUCUAACGGAAACGAGGGAACAAGCUGUGUAGAUAUUCCAGGCAGAGAGAACAGUGAAGGCUAAGUGUGUGGCUGAAGUUGCAUGAGGGAUGGGGUAAGUAGAAAGCCAAAGAAGUGCAGGGGUGGGUGGGAAUGAGAGGAUGAGCUCCACAUUUGGAGUUUGUCGUGAGGACAUUGAUUUUACUCUGAGAAAAAUGGGAAGACAUUGGAAGGUCUGAGCAAAGGCAAACCAUGACAUGAGGCACUUUCUUAAAGGAUUACUCCCAAUGUUGUAUUGCAGCAUGGUUUCGGGGUGGUGGUGAUAAGGACAGACCCAUCAGAGCUAGUUAGAGGUAACUGGAAUAACUCUUGCAAGGCAUGAUAGAACCUUGGACCAUGGUAGCAGAGUGGAGGCAAGGAGAAAAAGUUGAGUUUAGAUAUGUUUUGAACAUGAGGUGGACUUGGCUUCCUGAUAGAUUGCCUGAGGACUAAAGAGAGAAGCAAAAGAUGGCUCCAAGCCUCUUAGCCUGAACAACAGGAAAAAUGGAAGUGGACCACCAAGACAGGGAAGAUUGGGAAGGAAAGGUGGGAGUUAUGGGAACUAAGAGUUUUGGUUUUGUAUGUGUUAAGUUUGUAAUGAUAUUAGACAUUUAAGUGAAGGUGCUGAGUAGGUGAUUAAAUAGAUGAGUCUAGAUUUGAGGGGAGAAGUAAGAACUACAAUGACAACUUUGGGAUCAGUGAAUAGACAGUAUUUAAAACCUAGAUGAAUCAACCAGGGACUGAGCAUAGAAAGAAGAGAGAUCAGAGUAUUGAGGACAGGGGUACUCCAAGAGUGAGGGGUCAGGAAGUCAGGAGCAAGCAGCAAAGGAGCCUGAGAAGGACAGCUAGUGAAGUAGGAAGAGAAUGAAGAGCAUGGCCUCCUGGAGAUCAAGUGAAGCAGCUGUGUCCAUAAUGAGAGCGUGGCCAUCACAUCAAUUGCUACUGAGAGAUCAAUAGGAUGAAGCUAGAGAAUUGACCACUGGACUUAGUCAAGGUCAUUAGUGACCUCAUCUAGAGCAGUUUGGGGGAUGGCAGGAGUGAAAGUCUAACUAGCAUGUGCUGUGGAAGAACAGGAGGAGAGAAAACCCUCAGGUUACUAUAUUUGCACAGUGGGCUAUUUAACCAAUCAUUCAUCUUGUCAAAACUCUGCUUUAGAUUUGUACACCCAAGUUCAUAGCUGCAUUAUCCCAAUAACAAAAAGGUAGAAGCAACCCAAAUGUCCAUAGAUGAAUGAAUGAUAAACAAAAUGCCAUGUAAACAUACAAUGGAAUAUUAUUCAGCCAUAAAAGGACGGAAAUUUUAAUGCCUGCUACAACAUGGAUAGACCUCAAGGACAUUAUGUUAAGUGAAAUAAGCCAGACAAAUACUGCAUGAUCUCACUUAUGAUAGGUAUCUAGAGUAGACAAACUUAUCGAAAUAGAAAGUGAAAUGGUGCUUGCCAGGGGUGGUGAUAGGCAGAAAUGAGGAGUUGUAUAAUGGGUACAGAGUUUCAGUUUUGCAAGAUGAAAAAGUCCUAGAGAUUGGUUGUACAACAAUGUAAAUAUGCUUAACACUAUUGAACUGUACAUUUAAAAGUGGUUAAGACAGUAAAUUUUAUAUCAUGUGUAUUUUACCACAAUUAAAAGUUUUUCUAAAACAGAAACAGAAAUUGUUGAAGACCCACAACCGUUCCCAUCUCUAUCCUUUCGGAGAGUAACCAUCAUCUUGAAGUUGGUGUCUAUCUUUUUCAUGCAUGUUUUUGUGCUUUCAUUAUGUAUGUAUGUCCUCAUAAAUAACAUAAAGCUAACAAUACAGUACGCUAUUUUUUAACUUACAGAAAUACCAGCUGUCUAUUGCACAAAGCUUUUUUGCAUUUUGGGUUUUACCCAACAAUAUUUAUGUUUUCAAACUUUAUCAAUGAUAUUAAGUAAUUCUAUAAGUAAGUGUUUCCUACUCUUUUUUCCAUUACAAACAGUGUUUCAAUAAACCUCUCAGUACAUGGAGGCGUGGAGAAUCAAAUGUGUUUUAGGUAUCUUAAAUGCGCAAUAAUUCUCUUCUUUCUAAAACAUACUGUUAUUUCUGUUUGGAAUAAUACUCCACCCUUUUAUUCCCUUUUGUCUACAGAGGUUAUCAAACUACAGCCCACAGACCAAAUCCAGCCCACCAUCUCUUCUGAUGGCAGCUGCCACAUCAUGAGGAUAUCAAGACAUCCUAUGGUGAGGCCUGUGUGACAGGAAACUGAGGCCUCCUGCCAAAAGCCCUGCGAAUGAGCCAUCAAAAAAGUGGAUCAUCCAGUCCCAUUCAAGCCUUCAGAUGACUGCAGCCCUGUCCAACAGCCUGAUUGCAACCUCAUAAGGGGCACUGGGCCAGAACUACCCAGCUAAGCAACUCCCAAAUUCCUGACCUACAGAGUCUGUGAGAUAAUAAAGGUUUGUUGUUUUAAGCCAUU
RNAcentral lists this long non-coding RNA (5514 nucleotides) under Homo sapiens (human). RNAcentral describes it as "HSALNT0054965". Lineage: Eukaryota; Metazoa; Chordata; Mammalia; Primates; Hominidae. The record is from RNAcentral.